AUGAACGCUGGCGGCGUGCCUAAUACAUGCAAGUCGAGCGCACAGACGAGGAGCUUGCUCCUCUGACGUUAGCGGCGGACGGGUGAGUAACACGUGGAUAACCUACCUAUAAGACUGGGAUAACUUCGGGAAACCGGAGCUAAUACCGGAUAAUAUAUUUAACCGCAUGGUUCAAUAGUGAAAGACGGUUUUGCUGUCACUUAUAGAUGGAUCCGCGCCGCAUUAGCUAGUUGGUAAGGUAACGGCUUACCAAGGCGACGAUGCGUAGCCGACCUGAGAGGGUGAUCGGCCACACUGGAACUGAGACACGGUCCAGACUCCUACGGGAGGCAGCAGUAGGGAAUCUUCCGCAAUGGGCGAAAGCCUGACGGAGCAACGCCGCGUGAGUGAUGAAGGUCUUCGGAUCGUAAAACUCUGUUAUUAGGGAAGAACAAAUGUGUAAGUAACUAUGCACGUCUUGACGGUACCUAAUCAGAAAGCCACGGCUAACUACGUG
RNAcentral lists this ribosomal RNA (496 nucleotides) under uncultured bacterium. RNAcentral's name for it is "partial 16S ribosomal RNA". It matches the Rfam family "Bacterial small subunit ribosomal RNA", at positions 29 to 507 of the family's 1533-position model. The record is from RNAcentral.